RNAcentral lists this ribosomal RNA (540 nucleotides) under Testechiniscus spitsbergensis. RNAcentral describes it as "eukaryotic LSU rRNA". It matches the Rfam family "Eukaryotic large subunit ribosomal RNA", at positions 646 to 1139 of the family's 3401-position model. Lineage: Eukaryota; Metazoa; Tardigrada; Heterotardigrada; Echiniscoidea; Echiniscidae. The record is from RNAcentral.
AACCCGUUCUGAAACACGGACCAAGGAGUUCAACAUAUGCGCAGGUCGUUGGGUGUCUGGUAUACCCGAAGGCUUAGUGAAAGCAAGAUAUAUCAUUCGAUGGUAUUAUAGCGGCGAGAUCCUGGUGCUUCGUGCAUUAGGCGCAUCGCCGACCCGUUUAAUGGCCACGCGCCAUGGACGGAGUUAGAGCGCAUACGCUGAGACCCGAAAGAUGGUGAACUAUGCCUGGGCAGGAUGAAGCCAGAGGAAACUCUGGUGGAAGUCCGUAGCGAUUCUGACGUGCAAAUCGAUCGUCUGACCUGGGUAUAGGGGCGAAAGACUAAUCGAACCAUCUAAUAGCUGGUUCCCUCCGAAGUUUCCCUCAGGAUAGCUGGUGCUCGAUUUUAAGCAGUCUCUCCCGGUAAAGCGAAUGAUUAGAGGCAUUGGGUCCGAAACGGUCUCAACCUAUUCUCAAACUUUAAAUGGGUGAGAAGUCCGGCUUACUUAAUUUGAAGUCUGGACCAUAGUUUGGAUGCAUGAGUGCCUAGUGGGCCAUUUUUG